AUGGACGCCUCCGAGUGCGCCGCCCCUCCGCCAUCUUCGAAGAAUCAGCCGUCGAUUGUAUUUCCGGGCGAUUUUUUGAUGGGCUCCUUGAUCUGUCGCAGAUACCCGCACAUGCAAGGGGGCGCGUCGUCUUUGUCGUCGUCCUGCCGCGCCGCCGACGCCGCCGCCUGGGACGCCGUGAAGCAACAGAAACGCCAGCGCUGCCAGGGAUCAUCAUCCGGUGAUAAAGUUGGAUCCUGUACAGAAAGUAACUCCUUCAAAGCAUCUGAAGCCGAGCUACAGAAUUUUGACUCUGGUGAAAUUGAGGAAGAAGAUUAUUAUAUAGAUGAUGAAGAUGAAGGCUGCUACGAUGAUGACAAUGAAGGAUCUGACUAUGAAUUUGAUGAAAGUGAUUUCAAUCAGCAGCUGGCUGAUAAAUUUGAUGAUUUAGAUCUGCCUCCUGGUGUGGAGGCUUCUGUACCAUGGUUGCAGAAAGCUGCAACUGAUGACGGCCCUGGCAAUUUUAAGUCAAUGUCAGAAAUAGAGGAUGAAAUUGGUAAGAAAUACAAGUUCUUCAAACAGUUUGACACUGUUGAGGAUUUCUCCGAUCAUCAUUAUGCUAAUAAACCUGUUGGAAAGGCAGGGAAAGAGUGGACAAAAAGAAUUCAGCAUGACUGGAAACUUCUGGAGAAUGAUUUACCAGCGUCCAUAUAUGUUCGUGUCUCGGAGAAUCGAAUGGACCUUCUCAGGGCUGUGAUGAUUGGGCCUCAGGGAACACCCUACCAUGAUGGCCUUUUCUUCUUUGAUGCUCAAUUUCCUGCUAGUUAUCCUGCAAGUCCUCCUACUGUAUACUAUCAUUCUGGAGGACUUAGGCUUAAUCCAAAUUUGUAUGCUUGUGGAAAAGUCUGCCUUAGCCUCCUAGGCACCUGGGAAGGUCAUGGUUGUGAGAAGUGGAACUCAGCUCACUCAACCAUGUUACAAGUGCUAAUCUCCAUUCAAGCUCUCGUAUUGAAUGAGAAGCCAUACUUCAAUGAGCCAGGAUAUGAAACAUAUGCCAACAAUGCUAGUGGGCAGAGGACUGCCUUGGAGUAUAAUGACACAACAUUUCAAUACUCAUGUAGGACAAUGUUGUACUCGCUUCGUAGGGCUCCACAGCACUUUGAAGAUCUCGUUGCUGGCCACUUCCGUGAGCGCGGCCGUGCCAUUCUGGCUGCAUGCAAAUAUUACAUGGAGGGUAACAAAGUUGGGUCCGUAGUUCCUGACGAGGACGACGAGGACAAGGAACUGGAAAGCGCAAAUGCAGAAGGAUCCAGCAGUGGAGUGAAGCCAAAGAAUAAUCAGGUAGAUUUGCGUGCAGGCGCAGGUGUAGUUCGCCCUGCAUCCUUCAAGACCAACAUGGAGGUUCUGUUUGAAGAGCUCCUGAUGGAGUUCAAUGUGAAAGGUGCUGACACCAAGAAGUUCUGUGCCGAGAAGUUGAAGAAGAGCCAGCCUGCUGCUGCUUGA
RNAcentral lists this ribosomal RNA (1482 nucleotides) under Triticum aestivum (bread wheat). RNAcentral describes it as "partial small subunit ribosomal RNA". Lineage: Eukaryota; Viridiplantae; Streptophyta; Magnoliopsida; Poales; Poaceae. The record is from RNAcentral.